UGGGGAAUAUUGCACAAUGGGCGAAAGCCUGAUGCAGCGACGCCGCGUGAGGGAUGACGGCCUUCGGGUUGUAAACCUCUUUCCGUAGGGACGAAGCGCAAGUGACGGUACCUGCAGAAGAAGCACCGGCUAACUACGUGCCAGCAGCCGCGGUAAUACGUAGGGUGCGAGCGUUGUCCGGAAUUACUGGGCGUAAAGAGCUCGUAGGCGGUUUGUCACGAAGUCUGUGAAAUCCUAGGGCUUAACCCUGGACGUGCAGGCGAUACGGGCUGACUUGAGUACUACAGGGGAGACUGGAAUUUCUGGUGUAGCGGUGGAAUGCACAGAUAUCAGGAAGAACACCGAUGGCGAAGGCAGGUCUCUGGGUAGUAACUGACGCUGAGGAGCGAAAGCAUGGGUAGCGAACAGG
RNAcentral lists this ribosomal RNA (409 nucleotides) under bacterium. RNAcentral describes it as "partial 16S ribosomal RNA". It matches the Rfam family "Bacterial small subunit ribosomal RNA", at positions 355 to 776 of the family's 1533-position model. The record is from RNAcentral.